UGCCAGACUCCUACGGGAGGCAGCAGUGAGGAAUAUUGGUCAAUGGGCGGGAGCCUGAACCAGCCAAGUCGCGUGAGGGAAGACGGUCCUACGGAUUGUAAACCUCUUUUGCCGGGGAGCAACGGGGUCCUUGCGAGGGCCCGAUGAGAGUACUCGGAGAAAAAGCAUCGGCUAACUCCGUGCCAGCAGCCGCGGUAAUACGGAGGAUGCGAGCGUUAUCCGGAUUUAUUGGGUUUAAAGGGUGCGUAGGCGGAAUGCCAAGUCAGCGGUAAAAUCGCGGGGCUCAACCUCGCUCCGCCGUUGAAACUGGCGUUCUUGAGUGGGCGAGAAGUAUGCGGAAUGCGUGGUGUAGCGGUGAAAUGCAUAGAUAUUACACAGAACACCGAUUGCGAAGGCAGCUUGCUAGGCCGGAUCUGACACUGAUGCACGAAAGCGUGGGGAUCGAACAGGAUUAGAUACCCUUGUA
This 466-nucleotide ribosomal RNA is filed under the name uncultured bacterium. Its description in RNAcentral is "bacterial SSU rRNA". It matches the Rfam family "Bacterial small subunit ribosomal RNA", at positions 329 to 792 of the family's 1533-position model. The record is from RNAcentral.